RNAcentral lists this ribosomal RNA (1441 nucleotides) under uncultured organism. RNAcentral describes it as "16S ribosomal RNA". It matches the Rfam family "Bacterial small subunit ribosomal RNA". The record is from RNAcentral.
UGGCUCAGGAUGAACGCUAGCUACAGGCUUAACACAUGCAAGUCGAGGGGCAUCAGGAAGAAAGCUUGCUUUCUUUGCUGGCGACCGGCGCACGGGUGAGUAACACGUAUCCAACCUGCCCUUUACUCGGGGAUAGCCUUUCGAAAGAAAGAUUAAUACCCGAUAGCAUAAUGAUUCCGCAUGGUUUCAUUAUUAAAGGAUUCCGGUAAAGGAUGGGGAUGCGUUCCAUUAGGUUGUUGGUGAGGUAACGGCCCACCAAGCCUUCGAUGGAUAGGGGUUCUGAGAGGAAGGUCCCCCACAUUGGAACUGAGACACGGUCCAAACUCCUACGGGAGGCAGCAGUGAGGAAUAUUGGUCAAUGGGCGCUAGCCUGAACCAGCCAAGUAGCGUGAAGGAUGAAGGCUCUAUGGGUCGUAAACUUCUUUUAUAUAAGAAUAAAGUGCAGUAUGUAUACUGUUUUGUAUGUAUUAUAUGAAUAAGGAUCGGCUAACUCCGUGCCAGCAGCCGCGGUAAUACGGAGGAUCCGAGCGUUAUCCGGAUUUAUUGGGUUUAAAGGGAGCGUAGGUGGACUGGUAAGUCAGUUGUGAAAGUUUGCGGCUCAACCGUAAAAUUGCAGUUGAUACUGUCAGUCUUGAGUACAGUAGAGGUGGGCGGAAUUCGUGGUGUAGCGGUGAAAUGCUUAGAUAUCACGAAGAACUCCGAUUGCGAAGGCAGCUCACUGGACUGCAACUGACACUGAUGCUCGAAAGUGUGGGUAUCAAACAGGAUUAGAUACCCUGGUAGUCCACACAGUAAACGAUGAAUACUCGCUGUUUGCGAUAUACAGUAAGCGGCCAAGCGAAAGCAUUAAGUAUUCCACCUGGGGAGUACGCCGGCAACGGUGAAACUCAAAGGAAUUGACGGGGGCCCGCACAAGCGGAGGAACAUGUGGUUUAAUUCGAUGAUACGCGAGGAACCUUACCCGGGCUUAAAUUGCAGUGGAAUGAUGUGGAAGCAUGUCAGUGAGCAAUCACCGCUGUGAAGGUGCUGCAUGGUUGUCGUCAGCUCGUGCCGUGAGGUGUCGGCUUAAGUGCCAUAACGAGCGCAACCCUUAUCUUUAGUUACUAACAGGUUAUGCUGAGGACUCUAGAGAGACUGCCGUCGUAAGAUGUGAGGAAGGUGGGGAUGACGUCAAAUCAGCACGGCCCUUACGUCCGGGGCUACACACGUGUUACAAUGGGGGGUACAGAAGGCAGCUAGCGGGUGACCGUAUGCUAAUCCCAAAAUCCUCUCUCAGUUCGGAUCGAAGUCUGCAACCCGACUUCGUGAAGCUGGAUUCGCUAGUAAUCGCGCAUCAGCCACGGCGCGGUGAAUACGUUCCCGGGCCUUGUACACACCGCCCGUCAAGCCAUGGGAGCCGGGGGUACCUGAAGUACGUAACCGCAAGGAUCGUCCUAGGGUA